Molecule: unclassified non-coding RNA, 211 nt
Filed under: uncultured Laccaria
Lineage: Eukaryota; Fungi; Basidiomycota; Agaricomycetes; Agaricales; Tricholomataceae
Description: sequence contains ITS2
Source: RNAcentral
AAUUCUCAACCUUUCCAGCUUUUAUCAGUUUGGUCAGGCUUGGAUGUGGGGGUUGCAGGCUUCAUUUACUUUAUGAGCUCUGCUCUCCUUAAAUGCAUUAGCGGAACUUUUGUGGACCGUCUAUUGGUGUGAUAAUUAUCUACACCGUGGAUGUAAAGCAGGUUUAUAAAGUUCAGCUUCUAACUGUCUAUUGACUUGGACAAUUUUGACA